GCCCGCGGUGGCUCAGAUGGAUAGAGCGUCUGCCAUGUAGGCAGGAGGUCCCGGGUUCGAGUCCCGGUCGGGGCA
Molecule: transfer RNA, 75 nt
Filed under: Schistocerca americana (American grasshopper)
Lineage: Eukaryota; Metazoa; Arthropoda; Insecta; Orthoptera; Acrididae
Also listed under: 1 other name
Description: tRNA-Thr
Rfam family: tRNA
About the family: Transfer RNA (tRNA) molecules are approximately 80 nucleotides in length.
Source: RNAcentral